GAUAUUUUUCUGCGCGCGUGCAUGUGUGUCUGUAUAGUGUGAGUGUGUGUGUUUGUGUGUGUGUGUGUGUAUAGUUGUGUGUCUUGGAGUCUCCACCUCCAGAUGAGCGACAAGCUAAGGGCCUCUCCUGGUUGGGCCCAGCUGGCGCCGUACGAGUGGGCUGGGCAGAUGCACGAGGCUGUGCCAGCUCUACUGGUGCAGAAGGGGGCACACCAGGCAGACAGGCCCGUGUCAGCAGCAGCAGCAGCAACUAUCCCCCUGGCUACAGUACAAGCAUAUGGCAGCAUCCUCCUCGAGGCAAAUGAAGCUUUUAAGCAGGGUGGAGGGACGUGGUGGGAGGAAGAGAUGCAGGUUGGCGGCUUACCGCUGAAAAAAAUUAAUUGACUUUCUGUGGAGCAUCACUUAUCCUCUAUCAACACCUUUGACUGGUCUGAUUCGAUGACAACACCACCAACUUUCUUCAUUUCUCGACGCUGGGCGAGUACUGAGGACUGCACAGGCUCCAGGACUGGUGCUGGAGCACAGCGCCUUAAAGCAGAAUAGGUGGCGGCCAGUGACCCCUAGUGGAAAACACAGGGUAUUACAUGAUCUGGCCUGACGACUAAAUAAUUGGCAAACACUACUGCCUACUGGACACAAUGAGAAAAACAAGUAUACAUAUUGUAGAUGUGGCACAUGAUACAUGGAACUUAUUAGAAAAAAAAAAGUUUUGUCUAGAUUUUGAGCACAACUGUUGGUCUGACCUUGACAGUGAGCAGAUCAUGUCUGGCAAGGACUUUGUCAGAGAGCUGGUCUCUCUCUACAAUCCAGGGAUGGCGAAGGAUCUUAAACAAACACAACACUGAUCAUGUAUUGCUUCAGGUGCACCUAAAGAAGAAUACACUAAACAAAUAUAUAAAGAUGAUAUUUAGGAUCCUAGAAUUCUAAAUACCUGUGGAGCAGUCAGACGCUGGUGAGGGUCCACAUGGAGCAUCUUAGUCACUAUGUCCUGGUAAAUAUAUGGGAGAUGAUGUUAUUGGUGAUGUCAUGACCUCUACCCGGGUCAAGUCUUGUUUUGUCUUAGUUUGUAGAUUUCCUGUGUUUAAGAUUUAUUUCUCUAUCAGUGGUUACCUCUGGUUGCUCGGGGCACUGGUUGAACACUCCGGCAUCUGUUUGUUGUUGAAUGUGACUCACACCUGUGCUCAAUCACAAUCGUGCCCCUAUUUAGACACGUCUCGCCGUCCAGUCGGUGCGGGUUAAACGACAUUUUAUGUUUGAGCAUGGCGUUGAUUUUUCGUGUUCCCAGGAUACGGAAGAACAAGAGGAAGCAGUGUGCAGGUAAGAGAGUAUUUCAUGUCCGAAUGUUCUUAAUCCGAAAUAGAGUGAAGCAGGGAAGUGUGAAUAAAAGCUCAGUGGCCUUGUGGUUAGAGUGUCUGUCCUGAGACUGGGGUGUCGUGAGUUCAAACCCCGGCCGGGUCAUACCAAAGACAAAAAACUGGACCCAUUGCAUCCCUGCUUGGCACUCAGCAUCAAGGGUUGGAAUUGGGGGUUAAAUGAACAAAUGAUUACCGAGCGUGGUGAUUGCUGCUGCUCACUGCUCCCCUCACCUCCAAGAGGGUGAAAAUGGUGAUGGGUCAAAUACAGAGGAAAAAUAUCACCACACCUAAUGUGUGUGUGUGUGUGACAAUGAUUGGGACUUUAACUUUAACAAUUCAAGCUAAGUCACAGGAAACAGUAGAGGCUAGAGAUGCGCGGUUUGCGGUCUCAUCCGUGGAGUCCGCGGAUAAACCGCGGGUCGGGCGGGUGACAUGACGAAAAAAUAGAUUUUAAUUGGAUUCGGGCGAGUGGCGGUUGAACCAUCCGGAAAUAUUUGAUAUACAUGGUUCUGGGAUCGGUAUCCUUUACCAUUCAAAGAGCCAUUUGAAACCCGUGUCACAAAGCGAAAAAGAAAAUAGGAGACACUAAUAUUCUCUAGAAUGACUGCCGGCAGUCAUCCAGUUAAUAAGUAUUAGGGCAUGCCAGGGGCGUCACUAGACCUAAUACUGUACUGGGGCACACCUGGGGCACAAAUAAUUCAUGUGAGCGUGCAAAGCGCGCAAGCAAAAACAUUUUUAGCACUUAUUUAUCAUAAAAAAUACAUAAAUAGUGCUUUAAACCAGUGCUCCCCAACCUUUUUGUUUCCGCGGACCGGUCAACGCUUAAUAAUUUGUCCCGCGGCCCCGGGGGGGUUUGCGGUCUCAUCCGUGGAGUCCGCGGAUAAACCGCGGGUCGGGCGGGUGACAUGACGAAAAAAUAGAUUUUAAUUGGAUUCGGGCGAGUGGCGGUUGAACCAUCCGGAAAUAUUUGAUAUACAUGGUUCUGGGAUCGGUAUCCUUUACCAUUCAAAGAGCCAUUUGAAACCCGUGUCACAAAGCGAAGAAGAAAAUACAAGACACUAAUAUUCUCUAGAAUGACUGCCGGCAGUCAUCCAGUUAAUAAGUAUUAGGGCGUGCCAGGGGCGCCACUAGACCUAAUACUGUACUGGGGCACACCUGGGGCACAAAUAAUUCAUGUGAGCGUGCAAAGCGCGCAAGCAAAAACAUUUUUAGCACUUAUUUAUCAUAACAAAUACAUAAAUAGUGCUUCAAACCAGUGGUCCCCAACCUUUUUGUAUCCGCGGACCGGUCAACGCUUAAUAAUUUGUCCCGCGGCCCCGGGGGGGUGUCCUUUUUUUUUUCUUUUUUUUUUUUCUUCUUUGUCAUGAAAAAGGGACGUUUUUGUAAUGAAAAGGGGAGUUUUUUGUGUUUGGUGCACUAUUUGUAAGUGUAUAUUGUGUUUUUUAUGUUGAUUUAAUAACAAAAAAAAAGAAAAAAACAAUUUUUAUUUUUUAUUUUUUUUUUAAGAAAAAGUUCUUCUGCGGCUUGGUACCAAUCGGGCCACGGACCGGUGGUGGAGGACCACUGCUUUAAACUAUGAAAUCAUAUCAGAUUAUGUUGUAUGGGUCUUUGAUUAACUACCUGAAAUUAACUAAUGCAUUUGACCUACUUGUGCACUUUUUUACUCCAGACUUCUAAACUGCUACUGGUAAAAGCAGAAAGGAAGAGCAAUCAUUCUUUUUGAAAUAUAUAUUGCAGUAAUAAUCUGCAAAUUUAACAUCUACAAAAGUAAAACAAAAAAUAAAGCACCCCUACAUCUCUGGGUUCUUUUAUAUUAUUUAAUUUCCAUUUAUGGAAAUGUGGCUAAUCCUAUUUCAGAUACACAAAACUGUAAAAUAUACACAAAACAAUAAAGCCACAGUAGUAGAAUAAAUUAACAACUAUUGUGUGUCUGUUCAGGGAAUCAUUUUCUGAGAAGUAAACUGUGACGUCUCGUUUUCAUUUUUGCAAAGUGGUCAAUCUCUCUGGACAAACAUGGAAAUAUUACAGUAACUGUUAUACAGUUGACCAGUGGUUCCCAACUGCUGGCUCGUGACAUAAAAGUGGAUUGUGUGUCAUUUUCAGUCAGAUGUGUGCAUGAAAAAAAAAAAAGUUUAGGGAGAAAAAAAUCAAAUUGUGGCAACAAAACCAGAUUAUUUUAACCUUUUUUCUAGUGACUAUUAGUGAGUAUUUUAGCAAAAGGCAAACCGACUAACAAGUUGGAGGACCAGCAGACAAUAACCAACAUUAUGUUUCAUGUUCAUUGGAAAUUCCCCCGACAGCUCGUACAGCAAAUGAAUAUGUUUGUCUUGAUACAAGGAAUAACGUUAGCUAACUUAGCAUCAACUUAAGACAAUGAUGUUGCCUAGCUAGCUAGGACUUCACUUACAUCUCUCAUUCCUUGCUGCUUCUUCUUCAUUGCUGCGGGCGAAUAACUUUCUUUAAUCCAUCUAGGAGUUACAGUUUAAGUCAAAUCCAAAUCAAAAUAAUGUAAUUAACAAAUUGUUGUUGGCUAACGUCACCUACCUCACGCAGUGAUUCGCAGCCCCCCCCCCCUCUCUCUCUCUCUCUCUCUCUCUCAACCGAAGUCUCGAUCCACACGUGAAUAAAUUACCCUAUUAAUUAGCCAUGUGGUCAUUGUUAGUGGAGUGAAUACAGUAGCAAUCAAUUACCAUACUAAGUAGUAUGUGCGCUGUUGUUUAUGUUAUGUAGACUUAAAACUCUUAAGCGUUUUUUUUUUUUAUUGGUGAAAUUUUUACUGGGGCACUGCAGAUCAACAGUGAAAUAUGUCUGGCGACCCCCCUGGGUAGUGCUAUGAAGCCAUUGACUUUGUCGCCUUCUACAGCAUGUACGAUCUGCUUGUCAGUCCAGCAACAUGUUGUGUGUGGCUUCCGCGGUAACACGCACACGA
Nerophis ophidion (straightnose pipefish) is the source of this 4284-nucleotide long non-coding RNA. RefSeq lists it as uncharacterized. Lineage: Eukaryota; Metazoa; Chordata; Actinopteri; Syngnathiformes; Syngnathidae. The transcript is spliced from 4 exons. The record is from RefSeq and is a predicted model, not a curated record.